Molecule: ribosomal RNA, 467 nt
Filed under: uncultured bacterium
Lineage: Bacteria
Description: partial 16S ribosomal RNA
Rfam family: Bacterial small subunit ribosomal RNA
Source: RNAcentral
GACGAACGCUGGCGGCGUGCUUAACACAUGCAAGUCGAACGAUGACGACCGAGCUUGCUCGGUCUGAUUAGUGGCGAACGGGUGAGUAACACGUGAGCAACCUGCCCUUCACUCUGGGAUAACCUCGGGAAAUCGGGGCUAAUACCGGAUAUGAGCUCCUGUCGCAUGGCGGGUGUUGGAAAGUUUUUCGGUGAAGGAUGGGCUCGCGGCCUAUCAGUUUGUUGGUGAGGUAGUGGCUCACCAAGGCGAUGACGGGUAGCCGGCCUGAGAGGGCGACCGGCCACACUGGGACUGAGACACGGCCCAGACUCCUACGGGAGGCAGCAGUGGGGAAUAUUGCACAAUGGGCGAAAGCCUGAUGCAGCGACGCCGCGUGAGGGAUGACGGCCUUCGGGUUGUAAACCUCUUUCAGCAGGGAAGAAGCGAAAGUGAAGGUACCUGCAGAAGAAGCGCCGGCUAACUACGUG